CUACGGGGUGCACCAGUGGGGAAUAUUGGACAAUGGGGGAAGCCCUGAUCCAGCAAUGCCGCGUGUGUGAAGAAGGCCUGCGGGUUGUAAAGCACUUUCGGUUGGGAGGACUGCUUCUAGCACUAAUAUUGUUGGAAGUUGACGUUACCUUCAGAAGAAGCACCGGCUAACUCCGUGCCAGCAGCCGCGGUAAUACGGAGGGUGCAGGCGUUAAUCGGAAUUACUGGGCGUAAAGCGCGCGUAGGCGGCUAGAUCAGUCGGGUGUGAAAGCCCCGGGCUUAACCGGGGAACUGCAUCCGAUACUGUCUAGCUUGAGUACAGGAGAGGAGAGUGGAAUUCCACAUGUAGCGGUGAAAUGCGUAGAUAUGUGGAGGAACACCAAUGGCGAAGGCAGCUCUCUAGCCUGAUACUGACGCUGAGGUGCGAAAGCGUGGGGAGCAAACAGGAUUAGAUACCCCUGUAGUC
This 465-nucleotide ribosomal RNA is filed under the name uncultured bacterium. RNAcentral's name for it is "partial 16S ribosomal RNA". It matches the Rfam family "Bacterial small subunit ribosomal RNA", at positions 339 to 795 of the family's 1533-position model. The record is from RNAcentral.